This 1915-nucleotide small RNA is filed under the name Pan troglodytes (chimpanzee). RNAcentral's name for it is "retained intron". The record is from RNAcentral. Lineage: Eukaryota; Metazoa; Chordata; Mammalia; Primates; Hominidae.
AUGCGGGCCCUCUGCCCCAGCACCCACAUCUCAGGACACCCCUUCCUCCCAGGAAGAAGACCCCCAAGAGCAAAGGGGCCAGCACCCCCGCUGCCUCCACGCUGCCCACCGCCAACGGGGCCCGACCGGCGCGCUCCGGGACUGCGCUUUCCGGCCCCGACGCGCCGCCCAACGGGCCCUUGCAGCCCGGCCGGCCCUCGCUUGGCGGCGGUGUCGACUUCUACGACGUCGCCUUCAAGGUCAUGCUGGUGGGGGACUCGGGCGUGGGGAAGACCUGUCUGCUGGUGCGAUUCAAGGAUGGUGCUUUCCUGGCGGGGACCUUCAUCUCCACCGUAGGCAUUGACUUCCGGCAGGGUCUCACUCUGUCGCCCUGGCUGGAGUGCAGUGGUGAUCAUGGUGGACUGCAACCUCCAACUUCUGGGUUCAAGCCAUCCUGAGUCUUUCAAAUUAGCAAAAAGAGCUACUGGGAAGGCUGAGGCAUUGCAGCUCGUUAGUUCCUGCACCCGUGUGCAGAUGAGGAAACCGAGGCAGUGUCAAACAAAGUUCUGGACGUGGAUGGUGUGAAGGUGAAGCUGCAGAUGUGGGACACAGCUGGUCAGGAGCGGUUCCGCAGUGUUACCCAUGCCUACUACCGGGAUGCUCAUGCUCUGCUGCUGCUCUACGAUGUCACCAACAAGGCCUCCUUUGACAACAUCCAGGCCUGGCUGACCGAGAUCCACGAGUACGCCCAGCACGACGUGGCGCUCAUGCUGCUGGGGAACAAGGUGGGAGGCCUGGCUGUCCUCACCUGGGCCACAGGGCAGGGCAGGUGAGGGGGCAGGGGCCAACCAUGGGCCAGCUGUCACCAAGACCCUGUGCCUGGGCCAGGUGGACUCUGCCCAUGAGCGUGUGGUGAAGAGGGAGGACGGGGAGAAGCUGGCCAAGGUGAGUCAGGGCAGGGGGGUGGUGAGGGGGUGCCCCUGGAGGCUGCGAGCCUAGGCUGUCCCCGCCAGGCCACCACCUGGCUGGCAGCAGCUGUUUACAGGAGUAUGGACUGCCCUUCAUGGAGACCAGCGCCAAGACGGGCCUCAACGUGGACUUGGCCUUCACAGCCAUAGCAAAGGAGUUGAAGCAGCGCUCCAUGAAGGCUCCCAGCGAGCCGCGCUUCCGGCUGCAUGAUUACGUUAAGAGGGAGGGUCGAGGGGCCUCCUGCUGCCGCCCUUGAACCUGGCUGAGCUCAGUCCUCUGGAGGAAGCCGCCCAGCCCCUAGAAGGCUGGACAGAGGGUCUCCAGGCCCUUCUGACUUUGUUGCCCUGUGGCCAACGCCCGAGUGUCUGUUUUCAGGAGCCCCAGGUCAAGCCUUGUCCCUUCCUCCUCCCAGCAACAGUCCCGACAAGCAGGCUUCUGAGAGCCCGUGGCCGCACACUGGCCGCCACGGAAAAGCAGUCUUCUGCACGGGACGGGGAGCAGCAAGUGGACAGACUUUGCCACGGUGCUCUGCUGCCCCCUCCUGGGCACGUCCAGGUGAGGGAGGGCUGGGGCUGGCACCACGCACAGUGCCUAACCCUAGAAAAGCCAUGUCUUCAGCCGCACAUGCUCAGGCAGCUAAGGGAGGACGCCUGCCCACGCCUGGGACAGAAGGCUUCACUGCUAAUCACAUCGUGCAUCUGUGUGUCCUGGGAGCUGCCUGCUCCCCGCCCACCCUCUAGGAGGCUCUGGCUCAAACAGCAAUAGGGUCUUCCUCACUGACCUUGGAGGAUGCCUGUGGCCUUGUGAUAAAAUGUGGGAAAUCACAGAAAACACCAGAAACAACAACUGCCAGCCCGGCCACAGCUGAGGUCUGUGAUUUCCGAGCACGCUCCACCUUGCACUCAACUUGGCCUUUUGAUUGCAAGCCUUUGUUUUCAGUCCUAGUGAAUAAAGUUGUGUUUUCUGG